This 446-nucleotide ribosomal RNA is filed under the name uncultured bacterium. RNAcentral's name for it is "partial 16S ribosomal RNA". It matches the Rfam family "Bacterial small subunit ribosomal RNA", at positions 331 to 793 of the family's 1533-position model. The record is from RNAcentral.
CCAGACUCCUACGGGAGGCAGCAGUGGGGGAUAUUGCACAAUGGGGGGAACCCUGAUGCAGCGACGCCGCGUGGGUGAAGGAGCGUUUCGGCGCGUAAAGCCCUAUCGGCAGGGAAGAAGGAGGACGGUACCUGACUAAGAAGCCCCGGCUAACUACGUGCCAGCAGCCGCGGUAAUACGUAGGGGGCAAGCGUUAUCCGGGUUUACUGGGUGUAAAGGGAGCGUAGACGGCUGCGCAAGUCAGAAGUGAAAGCCCGGGGCUCAACCGCGGGACUGCUUUUGAAACUGUGUAGCUAGAGUACAGGAGAGGUAAGGGGAAUUCCUAGGGUAGCGGUGAAAUGCGUAGAUAUUAGGAGGAACACCGGUGGCGAAGGCGGCUUACUGGACUGUAACUGACGUUGAGGCUCGAAAGCGUGGGGAGCAAACAGGAUUAGAUACCCGAGUAA